GUGGGGAAUCUUGCGCAAUGGGCGAAAGCAUGACGCAGCCAUGCCGCGUGAAUGAUGAAGGUCUUAGGAUUGUAAAAUUCUUUCACCGGGGACGAUAAUGACGGUACCCGGAGAAGAAGCCCCGGCUAACUUCGUGCCAGCAGCCGCGGUAAUACGAAGGGGGCUAGCGUUGCUCGGAAUUACUGGGCGUAAAGGGCGCGUAGGCGGACAGUUUAGUCAGAGGUGAAAGCCCAGGGCUCAACCUUGGAAUUGCCUUUGAUACUGGCUGUCUUGAGUACGGGAGAGGUGAGUGGAACUCCGAGUGUAGAGGUGAAAUUCGUAGAUAUUCGGAAGAACACCAGUGGCGAAGGCGACUCACUGGCCCAAUACUGACGCUGAGGCGCGAAAGCGUGGGGAGCAAACAGGAUUAGAAACCCCAGUAGUCC
Molecule: ribosomal RNA, 425 nt
Filed under: uncultured bacterium
Lineage: Bacteria
Description: partial 16S ribosomal RNA
Rfam family: Bacterial small subunit ribosomal RNA
Source: RNAcentral